ACCAAGGCAAUGAAGAGAAGAGUAAACAGAAGGGACCGGCACAGAGAAUUCCCGCUCGGUGAAAGGGAAUCCGGAAAGUUCUGUCGAAGAUGGACUCGGAGCCGAUCGGUUGAAUAAUUAAACCGUCCGGUUGCACCCGUUAUCGUGCUAUGGUAUUCAGGGCUGCGGCCUGCGUACCUGAAGAGGUUCGAUUUGUAAAAAUCGAAUAAAAUUGGGUGGUAUCACGGAAUUUCCGUCCCUUAC
This 243-nucleotide non-coding RNA is filed under the name Megasphaera genomosp. C1. RNAcentral's name for it is "Megasphaera genomosp. T-box sequence". It matches the Rfam family "T-box leader". From Rfam's summary of the family: Uncharged tRNA acts as the effector for transcription antitermination of genes in the T-box leader family. T-boxes are found upstream of many aminoacyl-tRNA synthetase genes and some amino acid biosynthetic genes usually in Gram-positive bacteria. Lineage: Bacteria; Bacillati; Bacillota; Negativicutes; Veillonellales; Veillonellaceae. The record is from RNAcentral.